Long non-coding RNA from Zophobas morio, 647 nucleotides. RefSeq lists it as uncharacterized. Lineage: Eukaryota; Metazoa; Arthropoda; Insecta; Coleoptera; Tenebrionidae. The record is from RefSeq and is a predicted model, not a curated record. The transcript has 4 exons.
UUUAUCUAAAUCUUGGUCAGGGGAUUGAUGUAUAAAGUUAGUAUUGUUUGAACUGACACACACAGGCAAAUAAACAUGCUCAUAAAUUUUGUGUGUGUGUUCUCUAAUAUUAUCCGAUAUUAUAUUUUAUAUUUUAAUUUUUAUUAUAAGAAAUACUUUUACACAUUUCAGUCAUAUUCGAAUCUUGAAAGCCCAGGAACGAAUUGAAGAAAGGGAUGUCAAAUUUAUCAACUAGUUAUCAACGAGUUGAUGACCAAAAAAAGUGGGUUUCUGCUUAAAAAUGAUGUUUUCAGGCGAUAAUAGUGAAACCCCAGGCUUUUUUAAAUAAUAAUCAUUCAUUCUACCAAGGCAAAACUAAACUUAAACAAGUCGUAAAAUAAAAAAUAUUUCUGCUACGAUUGUCAGUGAGAACAAUUUUCACUAGUCAAAAAAUUUUCCGAAAGAAUAUAUUCCAGAUUUGAGAUCGAAAAAAUCUAUGACAUAUUUGCCCAUUGUUGUUUCCCCAAGUUAAAUACUUUGAAGACUCCCACAAAUUGUUAAUUUUUGCUGAAAAUAUAUUGGUACUUGUAUUUUGAAUUUUGCUGAAAGCAACAGAAUGGUAGCGUGCGUUAUCCACAACAAUAACACUAAUUAGUUGUAAGAUUUUU